Mobula hypostoma (lesser devil ray) is the source of this 632-nucleotide long non-coding RNA. RefSeq lists it as uncharacterized. NCBI's taxonomy places the organism in Eukaryota, Metazoa, Chordata, Chondrichthyes, Myliobatiformes, Myliobatidae. The transcript has 3 exons. The record is from RefSeq and is a predicted model, not a curated record.
UGUUCGGUGGGAGAUGGAGAGAGAAGACGCUGGGGAGAACCGGUCAUAGCAUUCGAUCCAGUGGUAGACCAGCUCGUUCGAGAUGGAUUGGGAGCAACGCUCGGAGAUGGUGUGUGCUUUCACGCUGACCAAAUGCCCAGCGCCUUCAGAUGGACUUUUAAUGUUGAGUCGAUGGAGAAGUGUGUCCUAUGUUCUGAUUUCCUGCUCUAACAGAUUGACAGCAAUUUCCUGAUGGUGAAUAGAAACAUAUCCUAGAAAGAAAACCAGCUUUUUCCAAGAAAUGAUGCCACUGAAACAACAAUGGAGGCUGAUGCAGAGCUCUCAGUAUCCAAUAACAAAGGACGGCUGGGAUAGCAACAGUAAUAAACAACUUCGCCCAUCAGACCAGACCUGCUUCAGAUGGACUUUUAAUGUUGAGUCGAUGGAGAAGUGUGUCCUAUGUUCUGAUUUCCUGCUCUAACAGAUUGACAGCAAUUUCCUGAUGGUGAAUAGAAACGUAUCCUAGAAAGAAAACCAGAUUUUUCCAAGAAAUGAUGCCACUGAAACAACAAUGGAGGCUGAUGCAGAGCUCUCAGUAUCCAAUAACAAAGGACGGCUGGGAUAGCAACAGUAAUAAACAACUUCGCCCAUCA